GGGUGAGAUUUUGUGAGUUUCCUUUGACAUGUUAUUUAUUGUUCACAUUGCAAUUUGUAGCAUAAUGUUUUGUGUUCUUGUGUAUGACCUUGUCUGUUAAAAUAAAUAAUGUUCAGUAGGUAACAGUCGUUCAUUUAUGCUAGCCUAGCUAAGUGUACAGCUCUGCAAAGUAUUCCAAGCAGAGAGAACAACGGUGAUUUUCCGUUAUUAGCCUGUCUCAAUACCUACUGAUUAACGUCUGCAUUGUCAGAAAGCCUUUCUCAAUCGAGUGAGCUGACUUCCAGUUGAGCCGGAGGAGACAUCAGGACGGAUACCAUAUCGUACCACACCUCUUGUUCGACUAGCCUCCUCCACUGUAGGAUUCCCUACUAUUCGGGGAUAAAAAAAAAAACAUUUAAGCGGUCAUCUUGAAUUUUUUCUUCACCUUUAAACGAAAUGGAUUAUGAAAAGACCUAAUCUGGAUUUUUUGGUGUGCAAGUGUUGUUGAAAGUCUACUGGCGGAGUUUGCUAACUUUUUGAGGAGGUCGCAUUUAAGUCUUUCUGGAGGGGAACUAACUCGGAGCCAAAAUGGAUCAAGCCAGCGGUGGGGAGGACCCGAAUAAACCCUCUAAAAAGAAAUCCAACGAAGAUGAGGGUAAAAACAAAAAGCUGAACAUACACAUAAAAACAUUGGCUGAUGAUAUGCGUGACCGUAUUACCAGUUUCAGAAAAACGGGGAUGAAGAAGGAGAAGCCCCUUAUACAGCACCCAACAGAUCCCCUCUCUACCCAGGCCGAGCUGCCUGUUCCUCAGCCCCUUUUCGAUGAGCGCUCCAUGAAUCUCUCUGAAAAGGAGAUCAUUGACCUCUUUGAGAAGAUGAUGGAGGACAUGAACCUGAACGAGGAACGCAAAGCACCCCUGCGUGAAAAGGACUUGAGCACCAAACGUGAGAUGGUGGUCCAGUACAUCUCAGCAACUGCCAAAUCUAUAACUGGGAGCAAAGUUGCGGGUGGACUAAGGAACAGCAAGCAUGAGUGCACGCUUUCAUCCCAGGAAUAUGUCCAUGAGCUGCGUUCCGGCAUCACGGAAGAAAAGCUGCUCAACUGCCUUGAGUCCCUCAGAGUGUCUCUCACUAGUAACCCUGUCAGUUGGGUUAAUAACUUUGGCCAUGAGGGUCUUGGUCUUCUCCUGGAUGCAUUGGAAAAGCUACUGGACAAGAAACAGCAAGAGAAUAUUGAUAAACGGAAUCAGCACAAACUUAUCCAGUGCUUGAAGGCUUUCAUGAACAAUAAGUAUGGACUGCAAAGGAUCCUGGGAGAUGAGCGGAGCCUGUUGCUGUUGGCACGAGCGAUCGACCCCAAACAGACCAACAUGAUGACAGAGAUUGUCAAAAUUCUCUCUGCUUUCUGUAUUAUUGGAGAAGAAAACAUCUUGGAUAAGAUUCUAGCUGCCAUGACAAUUGCUGCAGAGAGGAACAAUAAAGAGCGAUUUGCUUCAAUUGUGGAAGGACUGGAGAACCAUGAAGCCCAGCAACUCCAGGUCGCUUGCAUGCAGCUGAUCAAUGCUCUCGUCACGUCCCCCGACGACCUGGACUUCAGGAUACACCUACGCAAUGAGUUCUUAAGAUGUGGCCUCAAGAAGAUCCUGCCUGAGCUCAAAGAGACAGAGGAGCUAGACAUCCAGCUAAAGGUGUUCAAUGAAAACAAGGAAGAGGACUCUAUUGAGCUCUCUCAUCGCCUGGAUGACAUCCGUGCCGAGAUGGAUGAUAUGAAUGAGGUGUACCAUCUCCUGUCCAAUAUGGUGAAAGACACAGGCUCAGAGCCCUACUUCCUGUCAAUACUUCAGCACCUAUUGCUCAUCAGGAAUGACUAUUACAUCAGGCCUCAGUAUUACAAGGUGAUAGAAGAAUGCGUGUCUCAGGUGGUCCUGCAUCGCAGUGGGAUGGACCCUGACUUCGGCUACAGUAAAAGACUGGACGUGGACUUCACCCACCUAAUUGAUCAGUGUGUGGAUAAAGCCAAAGUUGAAGAGAGUGAACAGAAGGCUGCAGAGUACUCCAAAAAGUUUGAUGAGGAGUUCAGUGCACGGCAAGAGGCUCAGGCCGAGUCUCAGAAGAAGGAAGAGAGAAUCAAAGAGCUGGAGGAGAAGAUCCAGGCCCUGGAGUCCCAGUUAACUUUUGAAAAAGACAAGCUCAAAGAGGCUCAGAGGCUCAUCAGGGAAUCUGAUGCCAAGAUUGCAGCAGGUCCAGCUGUGCCCGGAGCACCACCUCCACCACCCGUACCAGGGGGUGCAGCACCUCCGCCUCCUCCUCCACCACCGCCUCCCCCACCUCCACCUGGUAGCUGCCCUCCCCCUCCUCCACCUCCUCCUCUCCCUGGCCACGCCUGCAAUCCACCACCACCUCCUCCUCCUCCAGGUGGAGGACCUCCACCACCCCCACCACCCCCUGGUUUUGGGCCUCCACCUCCUCCGCCUUUCUUCGGGGGCCCGGGUGGGCCUCCACCGCCUCCUGCAUUGCCUGUCAUCAAGCUGCCUUAUGGACUGGAGCCAAAGAAAACCUAUAAGCCAGAAACUGUGAUGAAGAGGGUCAAUUGGUCCAAGAUAGUGCCUCAGGAAAUGGCAGAGAAUUGCUUCUGGAUCAAAGUUAAAGAAGAGAAGUUUGAGAAUCCUGACCUAUUUGCACAGCUCUCCCUCUGCUUCUCCUCGCAGAGCAAAGUGAAAAAAGACAUAAAAGAUGAGACUGACAACAAAAUCCCACAAUUCAAGAAAAAGGCGAAAGAGCUUCGCAUCUUGGAUGCCAAGACGGCGCAGAAUCUUUCAAUUUUCUUGGGCUCGUUCCGCCUGCCUUAUGAAGAGAUCCGGGACAUUGUGCUGGAGGUAGACGAGGAAAGACUGAGCGAAUCACUCAUCCAGAACCUAAUAAAGAACCUGCCAGAGCAGAAAGAGCUGAGUGCGCUAGCGGAACUAAAGGGUGAAUAUGAAGAGCUGGUGGAGUCGGAGCAGUUUGGUAUAGUGAUGAGUUCGGUAAAACUCCUACGACCACGUCUCAACGGCAUUCUGUUCAAGCUGACUUUCGAGGAGCAGGUGAAUAACAUCCGGCCUGACAUCAUGAAUGUGACAUUCGCCUGUGAGGAGGUGAAGAAGAGCGAAGGCUUUAGUAAAUUCCUGGAGUUGAUAUUGCUGGUUGGCAAUUACAUGAAUGCUGGCUCAAGAAAUGCCCAGACGUUUGGUUUCAACAUCAGCUUCCUGUGCAAGCUCCGUGACACAAAAUCCAUCAGUCAGAAUACAACACUUCUUCAUUUCCUUGCUGAAAAGUGUGAAGAGCAUCACGAGUUGAUUAUGAGGUUUCCAGAUGAACUGGAGCAUGUGGAGAGCGCCAGCAAAGUGUCUGCUGAGAUCUUAAAAAGCAGUUUAACCACCAUGGAACGUCACAUUCAGAGGCUGGAGAACGACAUUGAGAACUUCCCCAAAACGGAUGACCCACAAGAUAAGUUUGUGAAAAAGAUGUCGAUAUCCUUUGUGUCGUGGACAUUUUCACACCUUGCUUGGUUUCACACUUAAUUUUAGUCCUCAAAAACAUAUGUAUUCUGGCAUAUUAGAAUGUUGUAUGUACCAUUUUGUCAACAGCAGCGUGUGCUGUUUGUGUUCAGCCUGGCAGAGGCAAGCAGUUUAAGUCACUUGGUGUGAUAGGUGGCACCCAAGGGAACUUAGGGAAUGGAUCUGGCUGCCUUGCUGUGAGAUGUUGAUCAGAUCUCCCUCUUCACUCCUCCCUGCGUCCCAAGAGUGAAAUCAUGCCUGUGGCUAUUUUUACUGCUCUCUGCCACAGCUGCCUGUCCCCUGGGGGACUCUAAUAGGGGCUCUAGCCCCUCACACCAACUUAUCGCCUGUCCCUGAUUUCAUCUCCUGACCGGCCAAAGGCUCUCCACACAACCAUCCAUGCACUAUCUUCUCUCAUGGCACCUCUCCUGUUUCGAUAACAGAGUGUUUCACUUAAACCCAAGCAUCUGUGCUCCCAAAUUGAAUUAGCCAUGUCUCUGCUCUUUCUUGAAUGCCCUUUUUGAGAGGAAAGGUCCUUGCUGUAUAGGUUUGAUCAAUGGUGGAAAUCACUCAAUACCUUGAGGCUAGGGUACCUUUCAUGGAAGAAAAACCAUGAGUGUCUUCUUUGUUUGUCUCCAGCAUUAUUGAGGACAGAAAGAACUACUCAGGAGUAAUUGAACAAGAAGCAGUGAAGGAGAACCACAAAAAGAGGGAGAUGGAGGAGAAGAUCAAGAGAGCCAAGCUGGCGAAGGAGAAAGCAGAGCGCGAGAAGCAGGAGCGCCAGCAGAAGAAGAAGCAGUUGAU
Molecule: RNA transcript, 4320 nt
Organism: Scatophagus argus
Lineage: Eukaryota; Metazoa; Chordata; Actinopteri; Scatophagidae
Gene: diaph2
Gene name: diaphanous-related formin 2
Exons: 27
Source: RefSeq, a predicted model, not a curated record